CUCCUCCGCAGUGGUCAGACACCGCCCUGUUUAUUACUCCGCACCGAGCGAAGAGAGCAGCUCAGAGAAAUGUUUGUCUCGGUCUUUGUUCAUAUUUAAUUAAAGAGGCCUGUUAACAACGACACAGAGGAGCAGUUUAAGAUCGGCACGGUGCUGCAGAAGAAGAAGAUCGAGUCUGUUGAAGGAGUCCCAGGCAAACAGCUGGAGGAUCAUCGUCUACUGGUUUAAUGUGGAAUCCAACACAAGACAACCAUUGAGAUAACUCUAAGAUGGGAGCCUACCUGUGUGCUUACAGAAAAAAUGAUGUCAUGUUCUUCGUUAAAUGGCAUAAUGGGGAGACCAUAUCGAUCCUCCUGUCCAACAAUGAGUUUGAGAGCGUCACAGUGCUG
This is a long non-coding RNA of Centropristis striata (black sea bass), 389 nucleotides long. RefSeq lists it as uncharacterized. NCBI's taxonomy places the organism in Eukaryota, Metazoa, Chordata, Actinopteri, Perciformes, Serranidae. The transcript is spliced from 3 exons. The record is from RefSeq and is a predicted model, not a curated record.